UACAGAGGGUGCGAGCGUUGUCCGGAAUCACUGGGCGUAAAGGGCGCGUAGGCGGUCUGCUAAGCGUGUGGUGAAAGCUCGGGGCUCAACCCCGCGUCGGCCAUGCGAACUGGUGGACUGGAGCUUGUCAGAGGCAGGCGGAAUUCCGGGUGUAGCGGUGGAAUGCGUAGAGAUCCGGAAGAACACCGGUGGCGAAGGCGGCCUGCUGGGCGGCGACUGACGCUGAGGCGCGACAGCGUGGGGGAGCAAACAGG
RNAcentral lists this ribosomal RNA (254 nucleotides) under uncultured bacterium. RNAcentral describes it as "partial 16S ribosomal RNA". It matches the Rfam family "Bacterial small subunit ribosomal RNA", at positions 524 to 776 of the family's 1533-position model. The record is from RNAcentral.